AGCGAUAGGCCUAACACAUGCAAGUCGAGGGGCAGCACGGGUAGCAAUACCUGGUGGCGACCGGCGCAAGGGUGCGUAACGCGUGAGCAACAUGCCCUAUACAGGGGGAUAAUCCAGGGAAACUUGGUCUAAUAUCCCAUAGUAUUUAGAGGAGGCAUCUUCUAUAAAUUAAAGCUUCGGUGGUAUAGGAUUGGCUCGCGUGACAUUAGCUAGAUGGUGAGGUAACGGCUCACCAUGGCAAUGAUGUCUAGGGGUUCUGAGAGGAAGGCCCCCCACACUGGGACUGAGACACGGCCCAGACUCCUACGGGAGGCAGCAGUGAGGAAUAUUGGACAAUGGAUGGAAAUCUGAUCCAGCCAUGCCGCGUGCAGGAAGACAGCCCUAUGGGUUGUAAACUGCUUUUAUAUGGGAGCAAUAAGGUCUACGUGUAGACUGAUGAGAGUACCAUAUGAAUAAGCAUCGGCUAACUCCGUG
Molecule: ribosomal RNA, 474 nt
Filed under: uncultured bacterium
Lineage: Bacteria
Description: bacterial SSU rRNA
Rfam family: Bacterial small subunit ribosomal RNA
Source: RNAcentral